Molecule: long non-coding RNA, 1627 nt
Organism: Rattus norvegicus (Norway rat)
Lineage: Eukaryota; Metazoa; Chordata; Mammalia; Rodentia; Muridae
Source: Ensembl
GGUGCUCAGGGCAGUGCUCAUGCUCAGGCGAAUGCGCCUACAGCACACAAGUUCUCAGCAAGCUUAAGGUCCCCAGCUCAAAUGUCCAAAGAGGCCAAUUUCAAGGAAAAUGCAGAGUAAACGUCCUUGAGGACAAGGGCCUUUGUCUUCUACCAGCACUGCUGUUGUGGCUACUUUGGAUUCCUGCAGAACUGUGUGAAAAGGGUGGAGUUAAUACAGGAAAUUGGUUACCAAGAAACUCAAAGGUUGAAGGAAAGCAAGACACAACAAAGAAAAGACAGAUCACCCAUGGCUGAGAGCAGUGACCUCACCAGAGUCUGGGGGACAGAAGGGAGUUGCCCGAGCUGCCAAAGCCCAAGAAAUCAGAGCCUUAAAGGACACUCGAAGAACAUUAAAAUGCUGUGACCACUUCUAAGCAGAGACUACGGUGCCUGGCAGAGUUCUUAGAAUUUAGUGGAUUUUCAACAUAGGCUUAUAUUUAACGAAUUAAUAAUGAAAGGCUUGAUUCUUCUGACAUCUUCCUUUAUGGUAAAGACAGUGAAUGGAAAAUCAGAGCUGAAGAAGAGGAGAUGCUUUUCAACGGACCUCUCAUUUGAAGUCCAGUGAGCACACAAUCAAGCGUUGGUCUUGCCAUCUCCGUUUCCGAGACUUGCCAGGUAUUUCCUGGGCUGUCAGCUGUUAGCUGGAGUGUGUGCAGGGUUCUGAGAGGUAUGGAGCCACAGGGAGCUGCAGUUUUAGCUCCUAGCUAUACUCGGCACCUCAGUUCCCAUGAAGAAUCAGCCUUCUCUCCUCCUGCUGGGAACCCCUCCUGGUGAGGGAUCCUGGGGGUGGCAGCCAUCUUCCCACAGCCUGUCACUGAGAGGAAAGAAUGGCACUGGGUCCAGUGUAACUGGAGGAUGUGACAACUGGAAGGACACAUGAGUGAUGGAGAAAUGUCUUUGUAAUCAGAACUAUUCGUUGGCCCUCAGCAUCUCCUAUCCAUUCCACUACGCAGACGGGGAGACUGAGUCAGUGGUGACUGGGAGAUCUGCACUGGCUCAGUCAGAAGCAAGACCAGACUGUUUCCAAGCUCUGAGCUGAAAGUGUCUGUGCUAGCUUUAUGCAGUUGCUGACCCGUUCCCGCUGGUGGGCACUUUGAUAAAUCAUUUCAAUUAGAAACAGAUGUUAUCAUGCUACACACAGAGAUGUAUCUUCCCAAGGUUCCAAACCAGCGAUGUUGCUAUUUAUGACUUCCAGUCGGUGUGUGGUCAGUGCUGGCCUAACCUCACACACGAACAAAUAAGCACACGGCAACGUUAGCUUUGGUGUUUCAGGAGAGCCGAGUAUAGAGUUGUGUGUCCUCCCUAGACAUAAGAUUAAUCUUGUUUGGGAAAUGGGCAGGGGAAAUAAGAGUUUGGGUUUUUGUGCAAAACAUCCAGCAAAUAACACAACAAAGGAGACUGUAGGAAUCUCUGUCUGGGAGGUAAUCACUGAAACAGCCUUCCUCACUCCAUGACACCUGGUUGAAACCAUCAUAGUUUGAGGACCUAAACUUGCAUGAAGAGGCAGUCCCAUGUCAUUUCUCCCGUAUUUAAUAUUCAUAUGGCUUUUGUUUUCUGAUAAUGACUCCCACUUAGCAAUAAAAUUA